GAUGAACGCUGGCGGCGUGCCUAAUACAUGCAAGUCGAGCGAACAGACGAGGAGCUUGCUCCUCUGACGUUAGCGGCGGACGGGUGAGUAACACGUGGAUAACCUACCUAUAAGACUGGGAUAACUUCGGGAAACCGGAGCUAAUACCGGCUAAUAUAUUUAACCGCAUGGUUCAAUAGUGAAAGACGGUUUUGCUGUCACUUAUAGAUUGAUCCGCGCCGCAUUAGCUAGUUGGUAAGGUAACGGCUUACCAAGGCAACGAUGCGUAGCCGACCUGAGAGGGGGAUAGGAAAAACAGGAAAGGAGAAAGGGUACAGGCACCAAGGGGAGGAAGAAGGAGGAAAACGUCCGAAAUGGGGGAAAGCGUGAAGGAGAAACGCGGCGGGAGUGAGGAAGGUCUACGGAUCGAAAAAAGCUGUUAGUAGGGAAGAAAAAAUGGGAAAGUAAAUAUGAAGGUAUGGAGGGUACAAAAAAAGAAAGCAACGGGAAACUACGU
This 496-nucleotide ribosomal RNA is filed under the name uncultured bacterium. RNAcentral describes it as "partial 16S ribosomal RNA". It matches the Rfam family "Bacterial small subunit ribosomal RNA", at positions 28 to 506 of the family's 1533-position model. The record is from RNAcentral.